This is a non-coding RNA of Puccinia sorghi, 89 nucleotides long. NCBI's taxonomy places the organism in Eukaryota, Fungi, Basidiomycota, Pucciniomycetes, Pucciniales, Pucciniaceae. The record is from the annotation of a GenBank genome assembly.
GGACCUUUUUGCCAAGAGAGAUUCCCUCUCAGCAAGCAGGUACAGCACCUUCUUGCCAAGAGGGAUUCCCUCUUGGCAAGCAGGAUUAG